RNAcentral lists this ribosomal RNA (808 nucleotides) under Arthrobacter sp. Its description in RNAcentral is "bacterial SSU rRNA". It matches the Rfam family "Bacterial small subunit ribosomal RNA", at positions 67 to 883 of the family's 1533-position model. Lineage: Bacteria; Bacillati; Actinomycetota; Actinomycetes; Micrococcales; Micrococcaceae. The record is from RNAcentral.
CGAUGAUCCGGUGCUUGCACCGGGGAUUAGUGGCGAACGGGUGAGUAACACGUGAGUAACCUGCCCCCGACUCUGGGAUAAGCCCGGGAAACUGGGUCUAAUACCGGAUAUUCACUUCCCCUCGCAUGGGGGGUGGUGGAAAGGUUUUUUCCGGUCGGGGAUGGACUCGCGGCCUAUCAGCUUGUUGGUGGGGUAGUGGCCCACCAAGGCGACGACGGGUAGCCGGCCUGAGAGGGUGACCGGCCACACUGGGACUGAGACACGGCCCAGACUCCUACGGGAGGCAGCAGUGGGGAAUAUUGCACAAUGGGCGCAAGCCUGAUGCAGCGACGCCGCGUGAGGGAUGACGGCCUUCGGGUUGUAAACCUCUUUCAGUAGGGAAGAAGCGAAAGUGACGGUACCUGCAGAAGAAGCGCCGGCUAACUACGUGCCAGCAGCCGCGGUAAUACGUAGGGCGCAAGCGUUAUCCGGAAUUAUUGGGCGUAAAGAGCUCGUAGGCGGUUUGUCGCGUCUGCCGUGAAAGUCCGGGGCUCAACCCCGGAUCUGCGGUGGGUACGGGCAGACUUGAGUGCAGUAGGGGAGACUGGAAUUCCUGGUGUAGCGGUGAAAUGCGCAGAUAUCAGGAGGAACACCGAUGGCGAAGGCAGGUCUCUGGGCUGUAACUGACGCUGAGGAGCGAAAGCAUGGGGAGCGAACAGGAUUAGAUACCCUGGUAGUCCAUGCCGUAAACGUUGGGCACUAGGUGUGGGGGACAUUCCACGUUUUCCGCGCCGUAGCUAACGCAUUAAGUGCCCCGCCUGGGGAGUAC